AUGCAGAGCUCGCGAGGAAGCACAGCCCAGGCAGUUCCUGCUCCCUGGACAGGGAUUGUGCAUUCUGAGGCUCAUCCACGGAGCAAACACCUCCAACCUCGGCCGACAUUCCUGCACAGAAUAAAGUGCAUUCUGCCUGCCGGCCCCGCAGACUCUCAGUCUGCCAAGCCCACCCUGCUCCUGCGCGGUGUUUCUGUGGAACCACCCCGUCCCCGAUCCGGAUCUCCGGAGCCCCUCGGUGAAGCACACGCAGCUCCAGCCAGGGAUUUCUGCUGCAGAACCGACCGAGCUGCUGGCUCCAGGGAAUGCGCCUCAUUUGUGGAUUUGCGCCUUUCUCUCAGGAAUACUGAACGCCGCCGAGGGAGCCGUCUGAGCCGGGAUGUGCCCAGGGAAGGCGCUGGGGAAGGAAGGAGCCGCGAGGCAGCGAGGCCGUAUCUGCCGGUUGUCAUGGAUACAAUCGCUGCCCGUCUCCUGUAUCAGUUACCUUCCCUUUCCUGGAUGCGAACCAGCGAGUGCCGGUCUGGCUCCUGCGCAGGACACAGCCCUUGGCACCCGAAGAGAAGGAGGAAAACAUCUGUUUAAAACCCACACGUCUCCUCACAGCAUCUGAGGGGAGAGUGGGAGGUGACUCGGGUUUUUGGUAUUAAAACGAUGCACGGCCGGUGGGUAAUGCUUUGCCCAAUUCCACGUGGUUCUGUCCUAAGCUUCGGCUGUUCCUGGGACUCAGAGGAGCUGUUUCACGGCCGUCCAUCCUUUUGGGUUCCCGAGGAACUGCUGAGGACCUGGGAUCUGCACGUGCUCCCUGUGCUCAGCACACGCACGCCAGCAGAGCUCUGCAGGCUGCACGGACCAGCUCUGCCUCCAAACAUCCAGAGGCCGUGGCUCAAACUGCACCCGGAAUCAGGGAAUUUUUGGGGUUGGAAGGGACAUUAAAGUUCAUCCAAUUCCAUGGGCAGGGGCACCUCCCACUGUCCCAGGCUGCUCCCAGCCCUGCCCAGCCUGGCCUUGGGCACUGCCAGGGAUCCAGGGGCAGCCCCAGCUGCUCUGGGCACCCUGUGCCAGGGCCUGCCCACCCUCACACAGAAUUUCUUUUGUAAAAAAUUCCUUUACCUACCUGAAAAAGGCUUUUUCAAAACCCCAUGUAAAAUACAAGCAUUUCCUCACCUUUUCUAAUUUAAUUUUUAGAACAGAUCUGCAGCCCAGGUGAGAAGUUAUUUAGAGCAAGUUAUCCAUCAAAUUUAGUUUUUAAUGAGCACACAGCUAUGUUUCUAGCUUAUUUCAGUGUAGGGCUGUGUGAGGGAGUGAAAACAUGAAAGAGAAAACUAUCAGAAACUGUAAACAGAACUGAAGCUGCCAGGGCUGUUUGCACUGUCCCCCAGGAGGGAGAAACUUGAGUAAACACAGCACCAAGUACAGUCAGGGUUUAUGGUUCUUUUAGGUUUAAAAACUUGUAAACAAAUGAUGGGGCUUUUAAGUGGAUACAAAAAGAUACCCUCGGUUUUGUGCUGCUUCCAGAGCACACAGGUCCCACUUUCUCCAGAGAGGGGAGGAGAAAACAAAAGCACAUUUCAACAGAAUUCCA
This is a long non-coding RNA of Chloebia gouldiae (Gouldian finch), 1582 nucleotides long. The record is from Ensembl. Lineage: Eukaryota; Metazoa; Chordata; Aves; Passeriformes; Passeridae.